Trichechus manatus latirostris (Florida manatee) is the source of this 2048-nucleotide long non-coding RNA. RefSeq lists it as uncharacterized. Lineage: Eukaryota; Metazoa; Chordata; Mammalia; Sirenia; Trichechidae. The record is from RefSeq and is a predicted model, not a curated record. The transcript has 2 exons.
GUGUCAAUCCAUCUCAUCGAGGGUCUUUCUCUUUUUUACUGACCCUCUGCUCUACCAAGCAUAAUGAACAUCCUUCUCCAGGAGCUAGUCCCUCCUGAUAACAUGGAAUCAUAGAUUAAUGCUUAUUCUAUUGAAGGGAUUUAAGAAAAAGUCGUCCAUGGAUAGAAUUCAGGUGUUCAAGAACUUGGGUAGAGGAUAAAUUUACAUUUUCAUUUUACUACCUGCCCUACAGAAAUUUAUUAUUUUCUCAAUUAUGAAUAUAGGCAACGGACCACAGUAGCAUUAGCAGUAACCAUGACUUUGUCAUCAGUAGAAAUCAUAGAUAUCUCCAUAUAAGAUUAUAGUUAUUGCAGGUAUUCCAAAAUAUUGUUUAUGUUCAUCUCCUUUGGUAGCUAUUAGCCCCAGUCCUAUUCUUGUUAUCUAGUGGGUUAAUAAUGAAGCACAUAUAUUACUAUAUCAAAAAUGAGCUUAUUAUUGAUAACUAUUUCAAUGCAGUUGGUUUCCUUUGUAAUCCAAUACUUAAAAGCAUUAUUCUGAAAAGGGUCCAUAGGCUUCCCCACAUUACCAAAGAAGUCCAUGACACUAGGAUUGUGUUUCUAUUUGUGAACCUGGGAAUGUAUUCGUUUUGUUUGUUUGUUUGUUUUUGGUAGCCGCAUCCAGUAUUGACUCAUACUGAGCUUACCGUGCAGUCAACUAAAUCCCUUUUUUGCACAUGCUAAUUUAGGCUAUAUUCAUUCCCUAAAAUAGGCAACUAGCAUUACUGUCCAGCCAGUGGCUGGAACUGAUUAACCAAUAGCUUGAAAUUAUUAUAGCAGCACUUUAUAAAAAUAAUUUUUAACUACUUGGUAGGUAAAAUAAGCAGGAGCAGCAAAGAAAGGGAAUGGAACUAAAUAUAGAACUUAAUGUUAACCACCUCAGAUAUCUUGAAAGAUAUUUUCUAUAUGCAGAUAUAUCUGCCAAACAAACUUACGUCUUUCUUUUAAGAAGUCAGUGGUGUUUUUUGGUUCAUUUUGUGGAAGUUAGGGGGAGAGAAAGACUGUUCUGGUUAUUAUUGCUGUGUUGUAAACCAUCCCCAAAACUUUGUGAUGUGAAAUAAUCAUUUUAUUGCAUCCAGGGAUUGUGUGGGUCGGGAAUUUGAACAGGGCCCAUAGCAAGGAUGCUCCAAGGAUGCUGGAGGCUGUAAUCAUCUAAAAGGAUCGUCACUCACCUAUGUCUAGAUAUCAGCUAGGACCGCAGCUGGGGCUGUCCUCCAGAGCACCUGCAUAUGGCCUCUCCAUGUAGCAUGGACUUCCUCACGAAUCUUUGCUCUUAAGAAACAUCGGCAGCAUAUCUAGGAAGAAAAGUUGGAGAGGACACCAGAGCAUGAGCAGAUUCGCACUGCAAGAGACAGCACAAAGAAGAUAGGUGCCAGGUACCAGAUGGAAUGAAAUCAUAUUCCCCUUGCUCUCUUGCCCAGCCUAAAAAGCCAGGCCAGGGAAGUUUGCGAUCGUGGUACAGGAAUGGGGACUAUUGCUCAAUGUUUAAACUACCCCAUCAGGCAAAAUUGCUAUUCAAUAUGCUCCCAACUCCCUAUUUUGUAUUUAAAGGCUUGAAUUCUUAUCUGCAACUUGGCAGCUUUGGAAGCUGACUCAUAUUUUAUUCUGCUCAAGACUUUCACUUCCAAGUACAUAUUCAGGCUUUGUUUGGUCAGUUUUGUUGAUUGUGUGGUUGAAUGCCAUCCCUGGAAAGAUGUGCUUUUAAGCUAGCAUGAAGUCAAUGACUUGCCUUCAGCAUUCACAAGGAAGUUCUGAAGUUUCUGUUUCAAGGCUUUGACAUGCCAGCAAGUAUAAAUCUAGUCUGAUGUCAAGAUGCCCUGUGCCAGUAGGUUGCUUUUGAUCUUGGUCUGCAUGAUUUUCCUUGUGGCUGUUAACCUGUUGCCAUUAAAAGAAACAGAAUAAGAUUAUGGAAUGUGGCAUAGGUUGCAGGCACAGAUAUAGUUAGUAUUUUCUAUAACACCACUCUGGUUUGUUAGAACUUCUAACUACGUUGGCAUUUAAAAAAAAAAAAAA